Molecule: ribosomal RNA, 397 nt
Filed under: uncultured bacterium
Lineage: Bacteria
Description: bacterial SSU rRNA
Rfam family: Bacterial small subunit ribosomal RNA
Source: RNAcentral
AUUAAACGCUGGCGGCAUGCCUUACACAUGCAAGUCGAACGGCAGCACGGGGGGCAACCCUGGUGGCGAGUGGCGGACGGGUGAGUAAAGCAUCGGAACGUAUCCUGGAGUGGGGGAUAACGUAGCGAAAGUUACGCUAAUACCGCAUAUUCUGUGAGCAGGAAAGCAGGGGAUCGCAAGACCUUGCGCUCUGGGAGCGGCCGAUGUCGGAUUAGCUAGUUGGUGGGGUAAAGGCCUACCAAGGCGACGAUCCGUAGCGGGUCUGAGAGGAUGAUCCGCCACACUGGGACUGAGACACGGCCCAGACUCCUACGGGAGGCAGCAGUGGGGGAAUUUUUGGGACAAAUGGGCGGAAGCCUGAUCCAGCCAUGCCGCGUGAGUGAAGAAGGCCUCGGUG